GAAACAUGACACUAGAGAGGAAAGACAACAGGGAAAGUACAGUGGAUGACAAAUAAUGACCAUCUGGGCUGAUGUCAUCCAGCGACUACAGCUCACAGGUGCUGGAGAGAUGUCAACACCGUAGGGAUGAGAAGCUCUUUGUAUUAUACCUGGUCUGGAGAGAGACACAUGGACCAAAGAGCUCCAUCAUGGGCGUCAGUCAUCUCCAGAAGGCUUCCUGAGGCCAGAGCUUGAAAGCCCGUAGUCGUGGCAGGUAUUCUGCAAACCAUCUCAUUUUGUGUUCCACAGAAGAAAAUCAUGCAGGAACAAAUAACGAGCAGAGAGCAUAUUCACAUCCCAUGGUACGAAUGAUCUGCAAGGUGGACCUGACCAAAGAAGAUACAUGUUAAGGACUCAAAAUCUAUGAACCCAUGCAAAUAUAUUGAAACAUUUGUCAUCAU
Molecule: long non-coding RNA, 440 nt
Organism: Onychostoma macrolepis
Lineage: Eukaryota; Metazoa; Chordata; Actinopteri; Cypriniformes; Cyprinidae
Exons: 4
Source: RefSeq, a predicted model, not a curated record